This 211-nucleotide long non-coding RNA is filed under the name Gossypium raimondii (Peruvian cotton). RNAcentral's name for it is "long non-coding RNA (GRAI_LNC000292)". The record is from RNAcentral. Lineage: Eukaryota; Viridiplantae; Streptophyta; Magnoliopsida; Malvales; Malvaceae.
GUAGUUCGAGUUUCUAUUAUGAAUCGAGUUGAAUUUUACAAUUCAAAUAAUUCGAAUAUACGAUUGGUGUAAAUACGAUGCUUCUAAAUACCAAAUUAAAUAAUUAUUAACUUUACAUAUAAAAAAAUUAUAAAAAAACUUAAAAAAAUAUAAUGAAAAAACCUCAAAACCCUACACAACCCUAAGCCCUAAAUCCUAAAAUCCACAAAAC